AGAGUGAAGAGACAGCAGGGGCUAGG
Molecule: non-coding RNA, 26 nt
Filed under: Homo sapiens (human)
Lineage: Eukaryota; Metazoa; Chordata; Mammalia; Primates; Hominidae
Source: RNAcentral